RNAcentral lists this long non-coding RNA (842 nucleotides) under Anas platyrhynchos platyrhynchos (common mallard). RNAcentral describes it as "lncRNA (ENSAPLG00000028929.1)". The record is from RNAcentral. Lineage: Eukaryota; Metazoa; Chordata; Aves; Anseriformes; Anatidae.
GCACAACUAGCUUUUAGUGUCACGUAACCCUGAAUGAGUUUCGUGUCCCUGGGUGACUGAAGAUGUAUCUCUAGAGUCCCCGGGGAUUUCUGGUGGCUGGUUCUGGCCUAUCUGACUUUGCACGAGGUGAGGAGCUGCUGUCAGCCCUCACCUGUACAGAAAAUCCCAAAGCAAUGCCAGAAGCAAAUAAGACUUUGCCUUUUGUGUGCCAACCUUCCUUGGAAGACUCAAGCUCCUGAACCAGUUAAACACAGCAGCACUAGGCUUAAGCACUUGUAAAACUUGUGCCUCAGAAACCAGAUGGCAUUAUAAGAAGAACCCAUGCUUAACACAAGCUGCAUGCUUUUGUCCCAGCCAAUUCAAUAGGGCUUUGUCCGGUAUUACUGAGCACGGGGGUAACUCUCCUCUCCGAGUACAAAUGAAAUGUAUUUGGCUCUCCCUCCAUUUUAUAAGGAGAUAACAGAACAAAGGAUUGCUGCAAUUUGAGGGCACGAACCCUCAUUUUCUCUCCAGUCCACCUAAAUAGAAAAGAAUUUCAUGUUGGCCUGUGAUCUUCCCUUCUGCAAGUCAAAGCCCUUUGAGUUCCUGCUGCAAGUAAUGGCAGUUUACUCGCAAUUUUUCAGCUGCAUAUGAUACCCCAAAUUGGCCCUCCUGAUGUAAUGAAAAGCAGCCCGCCAACACAGAGGUCCUUCCAAAGAAGCCAGGCUUUUGUAAGAGGAGAGAACGCGACUGUGGCUGCAGAACCAAAUACUGUUAUGCUGUGUGAAGAGAUCUCAGCAAAGGGACACGAGUUAAAGAGGAACGAUUACACUGUAAAAAGUCAUAAAACCUUCCAGGAUUAA